This is a long non-coding RNA of Gymnodraco acuticeps, 238 nucleotides long. RefSeq lists it as uncharacterized. The record is from RefSeq and is a predicted model, not a curated record. The transcript is spliced from 3 exons. NCBI's taxonomy places the organism in Eukaryota, Metazoa, Chordata, Actinopteri, Perciformes, Bathydraconidae.
CGGCACGCUUAAAGCGAGCUACCCGCUGCAGUGGAAACGCGCCAUAGAGGGAACGAACAAGAGUGCUGCAAAUUGAAGCCGGAGGAAACAAAGUUGAUCGAAGUGGAAAAAGUCGAUAUAUAAGAAGUCAGUCCUUUGUGUGAAUGCAGGUGUGGGACAUUCCAAAUGUUCCAAAAGUGAGCACUCCACGAAUGGACAAGUUUGCCAGGACCUCUCAGGCACCCACAACCAGCGUCUG